Saimiri boliviensis boliviensis (Bolivian squirrel monkey) is the source of this 1944-nucleotide long non-coding RNA. The record is from Ensembl. Lineage: Eukaryota; Metazoa; Chordata; Mammalia; Primates; Cebidae.
CCUGGGUGAUCUUUUUGACUGGCAGAGGUAGGUUAGGAAACAGCACUGAAGGAGGCGGCGGGUGGGGAAGAAAGGCCCAGGCAGGUCAGGAAAAAGGAGCAGAUGCCAUCAGCAACCAGGGGUUUCCGUUCCUAUCCUCAGGUCUCCUCCAACAAGGGUCAUCAGGAGAAAAGACUGGGCUCCCCUCCUGCCCCUAACAUCCUCCUCUUACCCCUCAGCACUCAACACUCCCUUCCCUGAUCCCAGGGCCAAGUGGACUGAGGCUUUUUUUUUUUUCCCCUGGUGGAGCCUGGAUCAAGUAAGGGGAUCACAGUUCUCCAGGCUCAGGAACUGGGCUCUCCGGACACCUGGGUCCCUGGCGCCUAGGGGAAUGGAGACAGCCAGGGGAAGUACUGCCUCAGACUGGCUCGUCACCCGCUACCCAGAAAGCAGUGCAGUGGCGUCUCCUGGGUCAUACAAACAGACGCAGCCACUCACGCUGCACCUGAAGAGGAAGACUUCUCCAGCACCAGAUUCGGGUGCAUUCAAGCCUCUAGUCCCAAUGCAGAGAUCUCCCCGACCCACAGAAGGAGAGAAGGAAAGAGAAGAGGCGGGGUGAAGGGCACGACCUUGCCCCCCAAACCCGCAACCAAAAGCCCUCAGGACAGUGGCCCGGGGACCAAACGGCCCUUGGAAUACGAAGCGGGUCCACGGCGCGUCCGAACUGUCGAGCACAGACCGGGCAUUUCCCUGGAUGGCCGAGAAUGCGGACGCGCGCCGGGCUCCUGCCUUGGCUCCAGCCUCGGAAGUCGGACAAGCUCCAGUGCCGGCUUCCGAGAGGCAUCGCGAUCCAGAGGCGGCUCGGGAUCCUGCUCUCGGUGCAGCGCCCCGUGCCUGUGGCCGCGCAGAGCACUCCGGAGUGGGACUGGCUGAGGGCGAGGGUGCAGAGUGGAAAGCUUGAAGGAGACACCACCGCAGUGUUUGCUGCGACAGUGAGGCUGAGGAACGCGAGGAGGUGGCUGUUCGGGCAGGAGCACAGCCCAGGCUUCGUAAGGCUGCAGCUCCGCAGGCUCUGCCGAGGGGCCUCCCGUAGCCCAGCUUCCUGGACAGUCUGUGCCUCGGACAUCUCUGCAGCCCCAACUGCCAAGCGCAGAACAGGGCAUACACAAGAAGCCGAUUACACUCCUGCUGAAUCGAACUGUUUCUGGCCCAUGAGGAAGCAGCCCUAGGAACCCCCUGGAGAGUUUUAGGGAGAAUACGGCAGUGGGAUGGAGAAGACAGAGAUGAAGUCAGGACUCUCUGUGUCCUCCCCUCUCCUGAAAGCUCCCCCAGUAGUCCGCCCCUCUAGGUCAGCGCACCGGCAGCCGGCAACUCUGGCUACGGGCACCAGAGGGCAGUGCCAGCCCGCAUACCUCCACUCACGGCUUCCUCACCUACAGGCUCAGUCGCCCCACAGCAGUCACAGGAGGGAUGGUGACUCCAUUUUACAGAUGGAGAAACCAGGGCUCGGGGCCCCAUCAUUCUGGAAGUAAGCAUUUUGGCCUGGCUGACAGAUGUCUGCCUUUCCACGGCCUAGGGCUGUCCACAAGACCCGGGGUGGUCUCUGAUCCGGGCCUCUCAAGCGGUUUUUCGCUGUCCACCACCCCCUCCCUUCCCUGCUGCUGCUUUAGGGAGAGAAAUCAGACACAGCAGAGACCCUCGGGCUCCUGCCCUCCCUCCUAGUGUACACCCACCGACCCUGCUGGACCUGAAAGAGGACAGGAAGGCGCAGAAGAUUUGCCAGGCUGCAAAGCCAGACCACCCCCAACUAAUUAUGCACAACCCCCUGAACCUGGGCACGGUCACUCCAGUGCCAGCCCUGGGGAGCACACAGGUGGCUCAGGCCCCUCCCCCACCUCCUCCCCUGACCUGACGCUGGAAAAAGCCGCCUGGAACAGGAUAUGUCAUAGAGCCCUGAGGGUCGGU